CCCACACACCCCACCAACCCCACAAUUCUCAAAAUAUGCCCUGUAGGCAAGAACAACACCAGACCCACUCCCAACACCACUGGCCAGCAUAUCGCUUAGUUCAGGACUUUAGAGCCCUGAAUAGUUUAAUUGUGCCCAUUUCACCCAUUGUCCCUGAUGUGACAUCCCUCAUUACAGCCAUUCCACAUGAUGCCACUUGCUUCACUGUCAUUGAUUUAAGUAAUGCAUUUUUUCUAUACCUAUUGAUCAAGAGACACAGCUACUUAUGGUUUUUACUUUUUGAAGGCUGUCAGUUUACCUGGACACGCUUACCCAAGGCUAUGUGGAUUCCCCAGCUGUUUAUUCGCUGGUACUCCAACAUACUCUAAAAAACAUGGACCACCGGUCAUGGUUCCGUCCUUUUUGCAAAAUGUUGAUGAUUUGUUGUUAUGUAACCCUAGCUAUGAGGCAAGCACUGUGGAUACUUUCAGCAACUGUAGGUCACAAGGUUGUUAAACACAAAAUGCAAUUGUGUAAAUCAAAGGUUGAAUACUUAGGUUUUGUUCUGGCUUUAGGCACCAGACAAUUGAGUCCAAAACGUAUUGAGGUCAUUCAGAGGAUUCCUACACCCACUACUCGGAAGGAGUUGCUCACCUUCCUCGGCAUGAUUAAUUACUGCCACCAAUGGAUCCCUGAAUGCUCCCAUUAUGACUCA
RNAcentral lists this long non-coding RNA (694 nucleotides) under Pelobates cultripes (western spadefoot toad). The record is from RNAcentral. Lineage: Eukaryota; Metazoa; Chordata; Amphibia; Anura; Pelobatidae.